CGUGCCCUAGUUUCUUGCAACGCCGAUCCUCUUCCCUAGCCCUCUCCCUCUCGCGACUCACCUCCUUUACCGAGCUCAACCGGUCUCUUCCUUGUCCCGCGCACGAGCACCACACAGCCGCCGACCUCUUCUUCCCUCACGCGAGCCACACGUCCGGCAAUCUCCACUUUUCUGCGAGCGCCUAGCAGCCGUCGGCUCUCGAGCGAGCACCACACAACCGGCCCUCUCACGCGAGAACCAGCCGGCGAUCUCUCCCUCUUGCCACAGUCGGCGCCAGCGGACAAGCUUUCUCAUCCAGUCGCGACUCUCCUCCCUCGCACAAGUCGCGCCGCACCAUAGAUUGCGGAAGCCGACCAUUACCCUCUUCUCUUCUCCCAGUUCUCUUUGAACCGUGGCCUAGUUUGGUUGCCACUGCCAGAUCGUCACCUUUGUUGCCUCUUCUCUCCGCGAUGUGCCCCAACGAAUCCGGUAACAGGUAGAUGAGUCAUAGAUGCUUGGAGAGAUGUCGGCUGCCAGUCCCACGUCACACUCGAGGAUAGUUUUCUUGUUUUGUUUUAGUAUUGUUUGGAUGGUAUGUUGAUUUUGUGUAUUUUGCUUUUCAAUGAGUCGAUGUGAAUUUUUGGAGUCUAGUAUGGUGGUUGCAGACAUUUUUGUUAGUGUCGUUGUUGGUUUUACGUUCGUAUUAUUUUGUGUCUUCCGCUAUGCAUGUUUCCAGUCAUGUGGGUUGUUGUUAACUUUGUGGUUGUUUUUAUUCAUUUAUGUCCAGCCAGGUUGGCUGUGUAUAUUAA
Long non-coding RNA from Zingiber officinale, 788 nucleotides. RefSeq lists it as uncharacterized. Lineage: Eukaryota; Viridiplantae; Streptophyta; Magnoliopsida; Zingiberales; Zingiberaceae. The transcript is spliced from 2 exons. The record is from RefSeq and is a predicted model, not a curated record.